This 958-nucleotide unclassified non-coding RNA is filed under the name Hevea brasiliensis (rubber tree). Lineage: Eukaryota; Viridiplantae; Streptophyta; Magnoliopsida; Malpighiales; Euphorbiaceae. The record is from RNAcentral.
GGAUUUUGUACAUUCAUUAACACCCUACUUACUUAUUAGUACUACUAAGGGUUUAUACAUUUGAUCAAAUCGAUCACUUAUGUACAAAACCGGAUUUCAUCAAAAAUAAUUUAAGCGCCCACGGGUGUUGCCAUGAGAACGGAAUCUACGUCAUUUCGGCUUCGAUUGAUCAUUUCAUCAUUACCGUUCGAUUCUUUGUUCACCCAUAUCUCUGGAAUUGCUUGUACCAGAUUAUGCACAGUCUCCACCACGUAAUCUGCCUCCUUACUUUUCACUGUCUUCCCCACCAAAACGGUACGGAGGCCGAGGGCUUUUCCGGCAGCGAUGUUGCGGACGUUGUCGUCAAGAAACAAAGUGCGACGGGGGUCAACAUCGGCGACGUCAAGAGCGAUUCUCAUGGCGUCCAUUGAUGGCUUCAAAAGGAUCGGAAACUCGUUCAGCCGAGUCGCCUUUGGGAGAUUUGGGUUCAUCGUCUCGAAACAUAUGAUCUUCUCAAAACAAUCCUCUAAACCGAGUCGGCCCAGCACUUCAGUUGCGUGAUUCAUAUCGGAGUUUGUGAAUAUGAUUUUUCUUUGAGGAAUGGUGAGUAAGAGGCGCCGGAGCUGAAAGUCUUGUUUGAUCCGAUCGUACGGCAACCUCCCGUGCACGAAACCAUGGUAAUCAUCGGCUUUGAUGUCAUAGCCCAAUGCUCGCAAACCAGCCAGGGUGCUGCCGUAUGUUUUAAAAAGCUCUGUUCGAAGAAUGGGAGCUUGGGUUUUUGGGAAUCCACAUUUCUCGAUGAGAAAAUCUUCAAUGUUUUUCUUGCAAGCAGCAGCAAUUCCAGUGUUGAAUGGGUACAGAGUAUCAUCUAAGUCGAAAAUGAGGCAGUCGAAAGAAGAAGCCAUGGAUGAAAACAGAGAGAAAAUGAGGAAAACAGAGAGGAAGAAGGAGCAAUAGAAAAACAGAGAGAAAAUGAGGA